CUGAGCCGUAUGAGUCAGGAAAUUCUCAAGUACGGUUCUAAGGAAAGGAAUUGACUCACCUAUUCCGAC
Glycine soja is the source of this 69-nucleotide non-coding RNA. The record is from Rfam. Lineage: Eukaryota; Viridiplantae; Streptophyta; Magnoliopsida; Fabales; Fabaceae.